CCUACGGGAGGCAGCAGUAAGGAAUCUUGCGCAAUGGGCGAAAGCCUGAUGCAGCAACGCCGCGUGCGCGAUGAAGGCCUUCGGGUCGUAAAGCGCUUUUCGGGGAGAUGAGGAAGGACAGUAUCCCCGGAAUAAGUCUCGGCUAACUACGUGCCAGCAGCCGCGGUAAAACGUAGGAGGCAAGCGUUAUCCGAAUUUACUGGGCGUAAAGCGCGUGCAGGCGGUUCGGUAAGUUGGAUGUAAAAUCUCCUGGCUCAACUGGGAGAGGUCGUUCAAUACUGGCGGACUAGAGGAUGGCAGAGGGAGGUGAAAUUCCCGGUGUAGGGGUGAAAUGCGUAGAUAUCGGGAGGAACACCAGUGGCGAAGGCGACCUCCUGGACCAUUCCUGACGCUCAGACGCGAAAGCUGGGGGAGCGAACGGGAUUAGAAACCCCGGUAGU
RNAcentral lists this ribosomal RNA (440 nucleotides) under uncultured Anaerolineae bacterium. RNAcentral's name for it is "partial 16S ribosomal RNA". It matches the Rfam family "Bacterial small subunit ribosomal RNA", at positions 338 to 794 of the family's 1533-position model. Lineage: Bacteria; Bacillati; Chloroflexota; Anaerolineae. The record is from RNAcentral.